RNAcentral lists this ribosomal RNA (492 nucleotides) under uncultured bacterium. RNAcentral describes it as "partial 16S ribosomal RNA". It matches the Rfam family "Bacterial small subunit ribosomal RNA", at positions 29 to 507 of the family's 1533-position model. The record is from RNAcentral.
AGUGAACGCUGGCGGUAGGCCUAACACAUGCAAGUCGAACGGCAGCACAGUAAGAGCUUGCUCUUACGGGUGGCGAGUGGCGGACGGGUGAGGAAUACAUCGGAAUCUACUUUUUCGUGGGGGAUAACGUAGGGAAACUUACGCUAAUACCGCAUACGACCUACGGGUGAAAGCAGGGGAUCUUCGGACCUUGCGCGAUUGAAUGAGCCGAUGUCGGAUUAGCUAGUUGGCGGGGUAAAGGCCCACCAAGGCGACGAUCCGUAGCUGGUCAGAGAGGAUGAUCAGCCACACUGGAACUGAGACACGGUCCAGACUCCUACGGCAGGCAGAAGUGGGGAAUAUUGGACAAUGGGCGCAAGCCUGAUCCAGCCAUACCGCGUGGGUGAAGAAGGCCUUCGGGUUGUAAAGCCCUUUUGUUGGGAAAGAAAAGCAGCAGGUUAAUACCCCGCUGUUCUGACGGUACCCAAAGAAUAAGCACCGGCUAACUUCGUG